RNAcentral lists this unclassified non-coding RNA (385 nucleotides) under soil metagenome. RNAcentral describes it as "partial contains 5.8S ribosomal RNA, internal transcribed spacer 2, and large subunit ribosomal RNA". The stretch from base 1 to 117 matches the Rfam family "5.8S ribosomal RNA", at positions 35 to 154 of the family's 154-position model. The record is from RNAcentral.
GAUGAAGAACGCAGCAAAUCGCGAUAUGUAGUGUGAUCUGCCUAUAGUGAAUCAUCAAAUUUUUGAACGCAUCUUGCACCCCUGGGUAUUCCUGGGGGUACGCCUGUUUCAGUAUCAUUAUUACCUCUCUUCAACUAGAUUGUUGGUUGAUGGGAAACAUAACUACUGGCCCUGAGUCGCCUUUUAGGGGGGGACUUCACGGCUAAAAUACUCGGUUAUUCUUGGCUGAUGACAACCUUUUGGUAAGAUUUAUCCUACUAAAAAGACUCUAGUCGUCCAAGAAAUGGACCUCCCCGUAGACUACUACGGAGACCCCAACAACAACCUUGAUCUGAAAUCAGGCGGGAUUACCCGCUGAACUUAAGCAUAUCAAUAAGCGGAGGGA